GUGCAGGCCUUGAGGGUGAGGGUCUCCUUAACUCUUGUAUCGUCAACAGGCCCUCCUGUGAGACUUCGUUUUCCACAUCUGCACUCCAGAAAGAUGGCCCAGAGCAGAUAUACUACUCAGAUAAGUACUUCGAUGAGCACUAUAAGUAUCCGCAUGUCAUGUUACCCAGAGAACUUUCUAAACAAGUACCCAAAACUCAUCUGAAGAGGAGUGGAGGAGGCCUGGUGUCCAACAGAGUCUUGGCUGGGUUCAUUUCAUGAUCCAUGAGCCAGAACCCCAUAUUCUUCUCUUUAGAUGACCUCUUCCAAAAGAGCAACAAAAAUGAAGUCUAUCUGGGAUCAGAAGUUAAAUCUUGUUCAAAUGUAUGUGUAUAUAUAAAGGUAUUAUUCAGUGAAUACUUGAAAAAAAUUCAUCAAUACCUGUGCAAUGAGUUGUAUUCUUCACAGCAACAGAGCUCAGUUAAAUGUAACUGCAAGUAGGUUAUUGUAUGGUGUUUAAAAUUUCUUCUAGUUGUUUUUUUUCUCAUAAUAUGAGUGCCUGUUAUUUUUGUUAAAUAAAGUUUGUAUGUUGCAUUUAAAAAAUAGAGCAACCGGAUGGGGGCCAGGAGUGUGGCUCAGUGGACAAGCAUGUGUUCCCCAUGCUCUAAGCCCUAGCUUCAAUUCCCAGCACCCAAAUAAAAUAAAAUGAUAUCUUUUUUUACCUUC
This is a long non-coding RNA of Dipodomys ordii (Ord's kangaroo rat), 704 nucleotides long. RefSeq lists it as uncharacterized. The record is from RefSeq and is a predicted model, not a curated record. The transcript has 2 exons. Lineage: Eukaryota; Metazoa; Chordata; Mammalia; Rodentia; Heteromyidae.